This 4914-nucleotide long non-coding RNA is filed under the name Lathyrus oleraceus (garden pea). RNAcentral describes it as "Pisum sativum (pea) long non-coding RNA (PSAT_LNC034687)". The record is from RNAcentral. Lineage: Eukaryota; Viridiplantae; Streptophyta; Magnoliopsida; Fabales; Fabaceae.
AAAAAAAGAGCCUAAAAUCAGAUAAAAAGUGUACACUAGAGUGUACAUCAGUAAAGAUAAAAAAAAAAAAAUAAUAAUAAAAGGAUGAUCAGUCAUAGGAGACUUAUGUCGCAGCCUAGAACCAAGUCCUAACAAGCGUGCUGCUGCAAUGCAACGCUGCUUCUUCCUCUCCGGCGAUGCUAUUCUGCUUCGGUGGUUACACUACCGUCUUCUUGUUCCACCGGCCACCAUGUCAAACGUUCCUCAGGUUUUACUUUUUCCUCAUUCUUGUUUCCUUUCAUGGUCUAUUUUUUUUACCAAUAAGUAAAUGGAAAACGCACAAUCAAGUGACGUUAAAAGGAAACCCUAGUUUUAUGUAUUUAUUUAUUUUGAUAUCAUAAUGCUUCAAUUGUUCUGUUAGUUUACGAUACUGGUAAUAUAAUUUAACAUUAAACAACAUGAUGAACUUGAUUUUCUUUGAUCUUUAGAUUCCUUUAACCAAAAUAGUUUACCUAGAUUGUUUAAUUAGUUAACUGAGGGAACAUUUGGAUUUGAAUGAUUAAUAAAUGUUGAAUAUUUUUAUGCUCUUUUCUACAUAAGUAGAGAAAACACUUUUUUGUAACACAACUAAGGUGAUCUUUGUUUAUAGAUGGUAAUAAGCUUUUAGAAUUCUCUAGUUAAACUAGUUUCAUCCAAACAAGGAAGACCAAAUACUGAGUUAGUGUUGUCAAAUUAUAUAAUCUUGUAUUUGAAACUGUAGAGAGUUUGAAAGUUGGAGAUCAUAUCAUUCCACAAGUUAUGGGGUUUAAAUAUCUGAGUCUGUAAUACAAAACGAUAGGUAGCUAAAAUGGAGACCGACCUUGGGGGUUUUACGUGACACAAAAGUACCGCUCAAGCUGAAGGGAGAAUUUUAUUGAACAAUGGGUAGACCUGCGAUACUGUACAAGACAAAAUGUUGGGCAAUUAAGUAUCAACCGGAGAAUAAAAAAAGUGUAGUACAUAUGAGGAUGUUGCGUUGGAUGUGUGGUAAGAUUAGACGAGGUAAGAUUAUAAAUAAUAAUAUUUGAGAGAAUGUUGGGAUAACACCUAAAACAUAGUGGAAAAUAGGCUUAGCUGGUUUGGACAUGUAGAGAGAAGACUUGUAGAUUAUGUUGUAAAGAGAAUAGAUCAGAUGGAAAAGAGUCAAACAACUAGAAGUGGAGGAAGACUUAGAAAACCUAUAAGAGAAACUAUUAAAAAACAUCUCGAGAUUAACAAAUUGGAUAGAAACAUGUCUUAAAUAGAACAUCAUGGCGGAAUUUGAUCCAUGUAGCUGAUCCUAUUUAAUGAGAUAAAACUUGGUUGUUGCUGUAUUGAAACUGUUCUUGUCAUCUAUGACCAGUAUUGUAUACUUUAGUAGUAGAAGUGUUAUUGUUAGUGUCAUGGAAGUAAGGUAGUUUUACUGUUUUUGUUGCAAGGUGAUAUCUGUUAACUCUACAACUUUUCAUUUGUAUAGAAGAUAUGGUGAUAGGCAUAUAAUGAUUAUAAAAUGCAAGGAUAAAAUAACAAAAAAAACACAAGCUAUUGAUAAGAUGAAAUCCUAAUACUCAAAUACAUUGGCAUGUGCAUCCAAAUUGUAAUAUCAUGACGUAUUGAGUUUUGAAGAUAUUGUUUAUUUCCCAAAUUUAUGGUUUACUAUUGCCAAUUCUAACAUAUAAAUCGAAAUAUGAUGAACAAGAAUUAUAAAUUGCUAGAUUUAAUACGACAAUAAAAGAGAAAUAUGCAAAAUUAUAAGAACAAGAAUAAUAAUAAGAAAAUGAAAAUAGGGAGGGGUGGAGCCACAAUCAAGCUUCUAAGUAGAAGUUGUAUGAUAAGUCUUGGGGAAUGAUCGCUACACAAAAAAACUUGAUUUCUUGAUAAGAUCAAAAGGAUGGUCCAAUCCUUAGCCAAAAAGAGACAUAAUCUCACAAAUUUAAAAAGUGUAAUUUUUCAACAAAAAUCUUAUGUGUUUGUAUUUCUUUGGGCGUGACAUAUUUAUAGGAAAAGGAUGAUCAGCAUUACUGAAGUUACAAGAGAAGAUAGGACAAGACAUUGAAUUAGAAUUGUUCCUUUUCUCAAAACAUGUUACCCUUCAUGAAUUCCUUUCUCAUCAAGCUUCGUUUUAUCUCAUAAAAGCCAUGGUCUCCUCAUAAAACCUUUCUUACUUAUAAUGGCUUAGGCUAUAUAAGUGCUUCUGCACCCCCUUUUGAGCUCUCUUGGACUCCACCCUUCAAUCAUGAUUCAAUCCACUUUUAUUUCAACAAAAACACACAAAACAAGGGGAAAUUAAGGCUGCAUCUCACACGUAAUGAGCAACUUCACAUUGGAUCAAAACACAAACAAAAAUAAAAUAAAACUAAGUGUUGGUGUCUAAUUAAUAAAUAUUCUACACCCACACUUUUCAUUACAACUUAAUUAAACUAAAACAAGUAAGAAUGGGAUGCAUUUCAUGCACCUUAUUCUUGAAACUAAAUUUCAGCUCUUGAAGAUUUGGUCUAAAGUGCUCCUUCAAAGUUCACAUCAGAUUACAAAACACACCAUAUUCGUAGACAACCAACGAAGGAUAAAGUAACAAAAACACACUACCUAUUGAUAACAUGAAAUCCAAAUACUCAAAUACAUUGGCAUGUGCAUCCACAUUAUAAUAUCCUGACAGAACAAGUUUUGAAGAGAUUGUUUAUCUGCGCUUAACUGUGAUAGGACUCCUUACAAUGUGUUUUCCAUCUGUCCAUUGCAAAUCCCCAAAUUGGUAUUUCCCCCUUGGAGUCACAUUUGUUGCCUGCACAAUAACUUGGAAUGUUUUCUUUUCACCAAUUUUCUUGAAAGUCAAGGAGUUCGGUACGACAGCAAUUUUAUAUCCAGGCAAAUGUACUCUUGCAGAAUAUGUAUUUGGUGAUCCAACAUUGGUGACUGUGCGAGUGACGUUAAUGGCAUAUAAACCAAGAUUUGGUAAUGUGAUUGAAGGGUAGUUCAAGUCUGUUAUACUGUGAGAUCCGGAACAUGUAAAUGUACCGUUGAAAUUAAGUGCUGAAAUGAGCUGUUGGUCGUACCCAUAAGCACAUAGGAAGUUCAAGUAAUCCUUAAUGCCUAGAUCAUAAACUAGUCCAGGAUCUAUUGCAGGGUCAGGUUGUACAUGCCCUGAACCAUAAGCAAAUGGAGUUGCCAAUUUUUUGUCAAACGCAUCCUGAAUUGGCUUGUUCGUGUUAUCUCGUGUGGUUGCUGGAAGGAUAUAUAACUAAUGAAGUUAGAAAUCUUGUGUUUGAUAAAAAACAGGCAAGUGUAUUGUGAGUGUACCUGUGGUCAUGAUAGCUGAUUUAAUCGCUGCUGGACUCCAGUUUGGAUGGAGUGUUUUGAUAAGUCCUGCAAUUCCAGCCACAUGAGGGCAAGACAUAGAGGUUCCUUGUAGUACAUUGAAUGGAACUCCUCGGCGAUUGUCUGUUAGUAAGUUUGAUGCACUUGCGAAUAGUGAAUAGGCAGCAAGUAUGUUCACACCUGGUGCAGUCACAUCAGGCUGAAACAAAGAACAAAUUAGAAAAACGCAUAGAAAAAAAUUACAACAAAUAUAAGAUGUGUUAUAGAAACAAGGUACAUGUGUAUACCUUGAGUAUUGAUGGCUGAAUCUUAUUGGGUCCUCUAGAUGAGAAUGAAGCCAUUACUGGGGCUGGUUUUCUUCCAUAGAAUGUUUUUGCUCCUGAAAACCUUAUUGUAGUACCUGUUUUUAAUUCAGAGUCCCUGCGAUUAUAAGUAUAAUGUGUAUGGUUAGAGCCUUUCAUUUGUAACAUGUCAACAAAUGUAACAGCUUUAAAAGGGUAUGUGUGUGCGCGCACAUGUGUGUGUGUGUGUGUGUGAUUGGGGGAGGAAGAGUUAGACGGAUAUAUAAUCAACUACAUUGAAGUUGUGUCAAAGGCAGGAGCAUGUGACCCUCCACGAUCUGGCAAAGCAGGAGGAUGGUAAUCGUUUUCUUUAUGUGGCUGACUAACACAAGACAAAACAUGUGGCUCAGCAAGAGUUGUUUUCCCUUGUUGUGGUCGAUUGCUUAAAAGCAUUCCCUUUGCGCCUGCAGAUGAAGCUUCUUGACCUUCAGCAACUGAUUUUAUACUUCCUUCUCGAUUGCAUGCUACUAUUUUCCCCUUCACUUUUGAAGGAUCAAGUGUUCCGGGCCUACAAAGUCGUCUGCAACAAUACAUAUAAAAAAAGUGUAUGAAAUGAUCAUUUAAUUAGUUAGUAAGUUUAUUUCAAAGUAAAGCAUUUGAGAUUGGUACUUACGCGUCACGAUUUGUCGCAUUGGCAAGCUUACCAUCCGUAGCAAGAAUCAAAGAAAAGGCUUUGUUUGGUGGCAAGUUUACAAAAAGACUGGCUCCCUAGGAAUAGAAAAUAGAAAACAAUUAUUUCAAAUUUAAAUACUAUAACUUAAUAAGAAGAAGAGAAAUAAUUAGAACUACGAUGGCAUUUACCGUCACUUGUUGAUUGUUACCAAAAGUUAUAGUACUGCUGAAAUCUCUGUCUAAUGUACUUGCAGCAAUUGUGAAAACCCAUGGAGCUACAUUCACAACACUUCCUGGUGUUGGUCCAUCAUUUCCUGCAGAAGCAACUAACAAUAUUAUUUCUAGAAAGUGCAUGAAAUGCACCUAUUGAAACUCGUCGGUAAAAAUAUCUUCGGGAUUAACAAGGUAUUGCCAGCAGCUGAAAGUGAGAUUAUAUCAACACCAUCACUAAUGGCUUGAUCAAUAGCAGCCAACACAUCCGCACCAAAGCAGUCAGCAACAUCUGUUAGAGACCAAACACACUUUGUAGGUUGCAACUUUAGCUCUUGGGGAACCACCUUUUACAGUACCAUUGCCAAUAGCAAAUAUACUUGCUCCUGGAACAAAGUUUCCACCAGCUGUUGAUAAGUGGUGAGUUCCGUGGCCUACAAAG